GACGAACGCUGGCGGCGCGCCUAACACAUGCAAGUCGAACGAGCGAGAGAGAGCUUACUUUCUCGAGCGAGUGGCGAACGGGUGAGUAACGCGUGAGGAACCUGCCUCAAAGAGGGGGACAACAGUUGGAAACGACUGCUAAUACCGCAUAAGCCCACGGCUCGGCAUCGAGCAGAGGGAAAAGGAGCAAUCCGCUUUGAGAUGGCCUCGCGUCCGAUUAGCUAGUUGGUGAGGUAACGGCCCACCAAGGCGACGAUCGGUAGCCGGACUGAGAGGUUGAACGGCCACAUUGGGACUGAGACACGGCCCAGACUCCUACGGGAGGCAGCAGUGGGGAAUAUUGCACAAUGGGGGAAACCCUGAUGCAGCGACGCCGCGUGGAGGAAGAAGGUCUUCGGAUUGUAAACUCCUGUUGUUGAGGAAGAUAAUGACGGUACUCAACAAGGAAGUGACGGCUAACUACGUGCCAGCAGCCGCGGUAAAACGUAGGUCACAAGCGUUGUCCGGAAUUACUGGGUGUAAAGGGAGCGCAGGCGGGAAGACAAGUUGGAAGUGAAAUCCAUGGGCUCAACCCAUGAACUGCUUUCAAAACUGUUUUUCUUGAGUAGUGCAGAGGUAGGCG
This 622-nucleotide ribosomal RNA is filed under the name uncultured Faecalibacterium sp. RNAcentral's name for it is "bacterial SSU rRNA". It matches the Rfam family "Bacterial small subunit ribosomal RNA", at positions 28 to 663 of the family's 1533-position model. Lineage: Bacteria; Bacillati; Bacillota; Clostridia; Eubacteriales; Oscillospiraceae. The record is from RNAcentral.